CCUACGGGAGGCAGCAGUGGAGAAUAUUGGGCAAUGGGCGCAAGCCUGACCCAGCAACGCCGCGUGAAGGAAGAAGGCUUUCGGGUUGUAAACUUCUUUUGUCAGGGACGAAACAAGUAACGGUACCUGACGAAUAAGCCACGGCUAACUACGUGCCAGCAGCCGCGGUAAUACGUAGGUGGCAAGCGUUAUCCGGAUUUACUGGGUGUAAAGAGCGUGUAGGCGGGACUGCAAGUCAGAUGUGAAAACCACGGGCUCAACCUGUGGACUGCAUUUGAAACUGUAGUACUAGAGUACUGGAGAGGCAGACGGAAGUCCUAGUGUAGCGGUGAAAUGCGUAGAUAUUAGGAGGAACACUCGUGGCGAAGGCGGGCUGCUGGACAGCAACUGACGCUGAGGCGCGAAGGCGUGGGGAGCAAACGGGAUUAGAUACCCGUGUAGUC
This 443-nucleotide ribosomal RNA is filed under the name uncultured bacterium. RNAcentral's name for it is "partial 16S ribosomal RNA". It matches the Rfam family "Bacterial small subunit ribosomal RNA", at positions 338 to 795 of the family's 1533-position model. The record is from RNAcentral.